Molecule: ribosomal RNA, 492 nt
Filed under: uncultured bacterium
Lineage: Bacteria
Description: partial 16S ribosomal RNA
Rfam family: Bacterial small subunit ribosomal RNA
Source: RNAcentral
AGUGAACGCUGGCGGUAGGCCUAACACAUGCAAGUCGAACGGCAGCACAGUAAGAGCUUGCUCUUACGGGUGGCGAGUGGCGGACGGGUGAGGAAUACAUCGGAAUCUACUUUUUCGUGGGGGAUAACGUAGGGAAACUUACGCUAAUACCGCAUACGACCUACGGGUGAAAGCAGGGGAUCUUCGGACCUUGCGCGGUUGAAUGAGCCGAUGUUGGGUUAGCUAGUUGGCGGGGUAAAGGCCCACCAAGGCGACGAUCCGUAGCUGGUCUGAGAGGAUGACCGGCCACACUGGAACUGAGACACGGUCCAGACUCCUACGGGAGGCAGCAGUGGGGAAUAUUGGACAAUGGGCGCAAGCCUGAUCCAGCCAUACCGCGUGGGUGAAGAAGGCCUUCGGGUUGUAAAGCCCUUUUGUUGGGAAAGAAAAGCAGCAGGUUAAUACCCCGCUGUUCUGACGGUACCCAAAGAAUAAGCACCGGCUAACUUCGUG